RNAcentral lists this ribosomal RNA (256 nucleotides) under uncultured bacterium. RNAcentral's name for it is "partial 16S ribosomal RNA". It matches the Rfam family "Bacterial small subunit ribosomal RNA", at positions 524 to 777 of the family's 1533-position model. The record is from RNAcentral.
UACGUAGGGUGCGAGCGUUGUCCGGAAUUAUUGGGCGUAAAGGGCGCGUAGGCGGCGUGACAAGUCACUUGUGAAAUCUCCGGGCUUAACUCGGAACGGUCAAGUGAUACUGUCGGACUAGAGUACAGAAGGGGCAACUGGAAUUCUCGGUGUAGCGGUGAAAUGCGUAGAUAUCGAGAGGAACACCUGCGGCGAAGGCGGGUUGCUGGGCUGAUACUGACGCUGGAUGCGCGAAAAGCUAGGGGAGCGAAACGGG